CAGUACCACCACCACCACCACCACCAACACCGUCUGACCAGCAGAGCUCUGGAAGUGACCGCCUCGUUAUUGAUACCGAGGAGGAGGAGGAGGAAAUGGGGGAGCCUUCAGGCCAGCCUGAUGUCACUUACCUGUACGUGGACUCUGAGCCGGAGGAGUAUA
Pseudophryne corroboree (corroboree frog) is the source of this 162-nucleotide long non-coding RNA. RefSeq lists it as uncharacterized. The transcript has 3 exons. Lineage: Eukaryota; Metazoa; Chordata; Amphibia; Anura; Myobatrachidae. The record is from RefSeq and is a predicted model, not a curated record.